RNAcentral lists this RNase P RNA (373 nucleotides) under fish gut metagenome. RNAcentral describes it as "Bacterial RNase P class A". It matches the Rfam family "Bacterial RNase P class A". Rfam says of the family: Ribonuclease P (RNase P) is a ubiquitous endoribonuclease, found in archaea, bacteria and eukarya as well as chloroplasts and mitochondria. Its best characterised activity is the generation of mature 5'-ends of tRNAs by cleaving the 5'-leader elements of precursor-tRNAs. Cellular RNase Ps are ribonucleoproteins. The record is from RNAcentral.
GCAGGCCGGUCUGCCGCUGGCUCAUAUGUCCCCGAGACAUAUCUGAGCGAGAGGAAAGUCCGGGCAGCAAAGGGUACCCCGCUUCCUAACAGAAAGAGGUUCGCAAGGGUCUGUAGAUGUAGAAGAAAAUAACCGCUCUGCACGUCAGAGUAAGGGUGAGAAGGUGGAGUAAGAGCCCACCAGGCCAAUGGUGACAUUGGUGCUGUACAUCCCGGGGGCUGAAAGUUCAUGUAAACCGGCGAAUACAACGAGAGGGCGACCCGUCCAAGCCGGAGGGUAGAACGAUAGAUGUCUGUGGCGACACAGAUGCUGGAUAAAUGGCAGACACCCGCGCACAUCGCGGCACACAGAACCCGGCUUACAGGCCUACUGU